AGAGUUUGAUCCUGGCUCAGAAUGAACGCUGGCGGCGUGCUUAACACAUGCAAGUCGCACGAGAACGCUUCAGCUUGCUGGAGCUAGUAAAGUGGCGCACGGGUGAGUAACGCGUGGGUAAUCUACCUCCGAAUUGGGGAUAACACUGCGAAAGCGGUGCUAAUACCGAAUGACAUCUCAGGGACCUCGGUCUCUAAGAUCAAAGGUGGCCUCUACAUGUAAGCUACUGUUUGGAGAUGAGCCCGCGUACCAUUAGCUAGUUGGUAGGGUAAUGGCCUACCAAGGCUUCGAUGGUUAGCUGGUCUGAGAGGAUGAUCAGCCACACUGGAACUGACACACGGUCCAGACUCCUACGGGAGGCAGCAGUCAGGAAUUUUGCGCAAUGGGGGAAACCCUGACGCAGCAACGCCGCGUGAGUGAUGAAGGCUUUCGGGUCGUAAAGCUCUGUCAAGUGGGAAGAAUAUGCCCUGUGAUAAUACCAUGGGGCACUGACGGUACCACUGAAGGAAGCACCGGCUAACUCCGUGCCAGCAGCCGCGGUAAUACGGGGGGUGCAAGCGUUAUUCGGAAUCAUUGGGCGUAAAGGGCGCGUAGGCGGCCCCUUAAGUCAGAUGUGAAAGCCCUCAGCUUAACUGAGGAAGUGCAUUUGAAACUAAGGGGCUUGAGUAUGGGAGAGGGAAGCGGAAUUCCUGGUGUAGCGGUGAAAUGCGUAGAUAUCAGGAGGAACACCGGUGGCGAAGGCGGCUUCCUGGACCAAUACUGACGCUGAGGCGCGAAGGCGUGGGGAGCAAAUAGGAUUAGAUACCCUGGUAGUCCACGCAGCAAACUGUGAACACUAGGUGUAGCGGGUAUUGACCCCUGCUGUGCCGAAGCUAACGCAUUAAGUGUUCCGCCUGGGAAGUACGGUCGCAAGGCUAAAACUCAAAGGAAUUGACGGGGGCCCGCACAAGCGGUGGAGCAUGUGGUUUAAUUCGACGCAACGCGAAGAACCUUACCUAGCCUUGACAUGCAGGAAUUAGUCCUAUGAAAGUAGGAUGACAGCUCUUCGGAGUCGGAAUCUGCGCAGGUGUUGCAUGGCUGUCGUCAGCUCGUGUCGUGAGAUGUUGGGUUAAGUCCCGUAACGAGCGAAACCCUUAUCAUUAGUUGCCAGCGGGUAAUGCCGGGAACUCUAGUGAGACUGCCGUUGUUAAAACGGAGGAAGGUGGGGACGACGUCAAGUCAUCAUGGCCCUUAUGGCUAGGGCGACACACGUGCUACAAUGGUCUAUACAAAGGGUCCCGAGACCGCGAGGUGGAGGCAAUCCUUAAAGUAGGCCCCAGUUCGGAUUGAAGGCUGCAAUUCGCCUUCAUGAAGCCGGAAUCGCUAGUAAUCGCGUAUUAGCCAUGACGCGGUGAAUAUGUUCCU
This 1404-nucleotide ribosomal RNA is filed under the name metagenome. RNAcentral describes it as "bacterial SSU rRNA". It matches the Rfam family "Bacterial small subunit ribosomal RNA", at positions 8 to 1375 of the family's 1533-position model. The record is from RNAcentral.